This 489-nucleotide ribosomal RNA is filed under the name uncultured bacterium. Its description in RNAcentral is "partial 16S ribosomal RNA". It matches the Rfam family "Bacterial small subunit ribosomal RNA", at positions 28 to 507 of the family's 1533-position model. The record is from RNAcentral.
GAUGAACGCUAGCUACAGGCUUAACACAUGCAAGUCGAGGGGCAGCAUGAUUGAAGCUUGCUUCAAUCGAUGGCGACCGGCGCACGGGUGAGUAACACGUAUCCAACCUGCCGAUAACUCGGGGAUAGCCUUUCGAAAGAAAGAUUAAUACCCGAUAGUAUAGUAUUUCCGCAUGGUUUCACUAUUAAAGAACUUCGGUUAUCGAUGGGGAUGCGUUCCAUUAGAUAGUUGGCGGGGUAACGGCCCACCAAGUCAACGAUGGAUAGGGGUUCUGAGAGGAAGGUCCCCCACAUUGGAACUGAGACACGGUCCAAACUGCUACGGGAGGCAGCAGUGAGGAAUAUUGGUCAAUGGACGAGAGUCUGAAACAGCCAAGUAGCGUGAAGGAGUACUGCCCUAUGGGUUGUAAACUUCUAUUAUACGGGAAUAAAGUGGAGUAUGCAUACUCCUUUGUAUGUACCGUAUGAAUAAGGAUCGGCUAACUCCGUG